RNAcentral lists this long non-coding RNA (1077 nucleotides) under Nicotiana benthamiana. RNAcentral describes it as "long non-coding RNA (NBEN_LNC039089)". The record is from RNAcentral. Lineage: Eukaryota; Viridiplantae; Streptophyta; Magnoliopsida; Solanales; Solanaceae.
UCCCGUUCUGGACAUAGAACAAUGCGUGAUUCCAAAUAAAUAUGCAUAUCCUGCACACAGUCUUAAACGUAGAAAGCAACUGCUAAAAAUUAACCAACCACGCAUGCAUCUGAACAUUAAAUUACUAUUAAGCUGCUACAUGAAUUCAUACUUAGCAAAUCUGACAUAAAGCAAGAUGAGAGGAAAAAUUCCAAAAAAUCAGGUAGCAUGCUGUAUGCCUUUCUAAUAGAUGCUCCACUGCCGGUAUAUGUUUAUAAUUCAAAAUUACUUACUAAUUACAGCACUUUCAAUACAAUUAUAAAAGGGAAAACCAUAGAAAAAGAAAAAGUGUGAAAAAUAAUACAUAGUCAUGAAUUUGGGAUUGAAACUAACUAAUACUGCUGAACGACUUAUAGCUAACAAAACAAAUAGAAAAGCAAAGAAAAAGAAGAAAAACCAAAUAAGACAGUAGUUUAAUAAAAUAAUACUUUUUCUUUUCUUUCAUUUUCACAAACAAGAAUUGGAAUAUGAAAAAAUAAAAGCAACGGCAAGGUUGUACCUAUUGAUACUAGGAAGAAACUGAAGUGUAUUUCUUGCUUGGGCUUCGAUAUAGUUCAAAAUUGACCUGAAAUGAUUGUUCUAGUCAAGAACAAUACAUUUGGGGUAAAUUUCGAACCAUGAAAUGUAAAGAAACACAACAGAAUGAACAUGUAGGAACCGGUCUUUUUUUUUUAGAUUUUCAGAUUUGACUGGUUUAAAGAAGAUUUAGGGAAAAUAACUAGUGGAUUCGGAUUCACGAGUGUGUGAGGAUUAUAGGGAAUGACUUUGGGUGGAUUUGAGCAUUUAGGACUUUUUAGGUCUUGGGUUCAGAUUUAAUAUUCAGUGUGUUUGGUGAUGAGUUGAAGGGAGCUAUUUGGAUAUUUCGGAUGGGGAGAUGGAGGGUGAUUCAUGGUGUGAAUUUAGUGAAGAUUGGACAACCGAAACCGCCGUGAAGCGAUUUUCUUUGGGCGGAUUAAGGUAGGGUAAGGCGGAGGCAGCGAGAAUUUUAGGGCGGCGUCUCUUGGGCUUGAGAGACAGAGUGAGAGAGAUGGAAUUNNN